AACGAACGCUGGCGGCGUGGAUAAGACAUGCAAGUCGAACGGGAUUACUUCUGUAGCAAUACAGGAGUGGUCUAGUGGCGUAAGGGUGCGUAACACGUGGGGAAUCUGCCGAGAAGUGGGGGAUAGCUCGUCGAAAGGCGAAUUAAUACCGCAUGUGACUAGAGUUGACAUCAACUCGACGUCAAAGCCGGGGCAACCUGGCGCUUCUUGAUGACCCCGCGGCCUANCAGCUAGUUGGUGAGGUAACGGCUCACCAAGGCUAUGACGGGUAGCUGGUCUGAGAGGACGACCAGUCACACUGGAACUGAGACACGGUCCAGACACCUACGGGUGGCAGCAGUCGAGUAAUUUUUCNCAAUGGGGAAACCCUGAAGGAGCGACGCCGCGUGGAGGAUGAAGGUC
RNAcentral lists this ribosomal RNA (402 nucleotides) under uncultured bacterium. RNAcentral's name for it is "bacterial SSU rRNA". It matches the Rfam family "Bacterial small subunit ribosomal RNA", at positions 29 to 416 of the family's 1533-position model. The record is from RNAcentral.